Molecule: ribosomal RNA, 253 nt
Filed under: uncultured bacterium
Lineage: Bacteria
Description: partial 16S ribosomal RNA
Rfam family: Bacterial small subunit ribosomal RNA
Source: RNAcentral
UACAGAGGAGCCAGGCGUUGUCCGGAUUGACUGGGCGUAAAGCGCACGCAGGCGGUUGCGCGCGUGGGGGGUGAAAUCUGGCCGCUUAACGGCCAGGCGCCAUCCCAUACGGCGCGACUGGAGUGAUGCAGAGGUCGAUGGAAUUGCCGGUGUAGUGGUGAAAUGCGUAGAUAUGCGGAGGAACACCGAUGGCGAAGGCAAUCCCCUGGACCUGUACUGACGCUCAUGCACGAAAGCGUGGGGAGCAAACAGG